Molecule: transfer RNA, 66 nt
Filed under: Frieseomelitta varia
Lineage: Eukaryota; Metazoa; Arthropoda; Insecta; Hymenoptera; Apidae
Description: tRNA-Leu
Source: RNAcentral
UUUAAUAUGGCAGAGUAGUGCUUUGAAUUUAAGUUUCAAAUAUAAAAUUUUUUAUUUUUAUUAAAA